This 433-nucleotide ribosomal RNA is filed under the name uncultured bacterium. Its description in RNAcentral is "partial 16S ribosomal RNA". It matches the Rfam family "Bacterial small subunit ribosomal RNA", at positions 29 to 507 of the family's 1533-position model. The record is from RNAcentral.
AACGAACGCUGGCGGCAUGCCUAACACAUGCAAGUCGAACGAGACCUUCGGGUCUAGUGGCGCACGGGUGCGUAACGCGUGGGAACCUGCACUUAGGUUCGGAAUAACUCCCCGAAAGGGGUGCUAAUACCGGAUAAUGUCUUAGGACCAAAGAUUUAUCGCAUUUGGAUGGGCCCGCGUUGGAUUAGCUAGUUGGUAGGGUAAAAGCCUACCAAGGCGACGAUCCAUAGCUGGUCUGAGAGGAUGAUCAGCCACACUGGGACUGAGACACGGCCCAGACUCCUACGGGAGGCAGCAGUGGGGAAUAUUGGACAGUGGGCGAAAGCCUGAUCCAGCAAUGCCGCGUGAGUGAUGAAGGCCUUAGGGUUGUAAAGCUCUUUUACCCGGGAUGAUAAUGACAGUACCGGGAGAAUAAGCUCCGGCUAACUCCGUG